CUACCACUGGUUUAUAGAGUUUAAAGGUUAGGGCAUGAGAAGCAAAGAUGGAGAAAAACGAAGGAAACAAGUUUAUUAAAUUUUGUAGCAAAAUUGAUAAACAACUAGCAAAGAUCGAAAGAGUUCAAGCAAAGCGAAAACAACAAGGAAAAACAAAGAAAAUCCUAAAGGCUACCUAGAAGACUACUCUUCAGCAGCUU
This 200-nucleotide long non-coding RNA is filed under the name Malus domestica (apple). Its description in RNAcentral is "long non-coding RNA (MDOM_LNC009495)". The record is from RNAcentral. Lineage: Eukaryota; Viridiplantae; Streptophyta; Magnoliopsida; Rosales; Rosaceae.